GUCUAUAUCCAUACCACCCUGAAUGCGCCCAAUCUCAUCUGAUCUCUGAAGCUAAGCAGGGUCAGACCUGGUUAGUACUUGGAUGGGAGAAAUAUAAGUGAGUACACACA
Ribosomal RNA from Fukomys damarensis (Damara mole-rat), 110 nucleotides. NCBI's taxonomy places the organism in Eukaryota, Metazoa, Chordata, Mammalia, Rodentia, Bathyergidae. The record is from Ensembl.